GUGUCAGCAGCCGCGGUAAUACGGAGGGCGCAAGCGUUGUUCGGAAUUACUGGGCGUAAAGCGCGUGUAGGUGGCUCGGAAAGUCGGGUGUGAAAUCCCGGAGCUCAACUCCGGAACUGCAUCCGAUACUGCCGAGCUCGAGUCUCGGAGAGGACGGCGGAAUUUCCGGUGUAGAGGUGAAAUUCGUAGAUAUCGGAAGGAACACCAGUGGCGAAGGCGGCCGUCUGGACGAUGACUGACACUGAGACGCGAAAGCGUGGGGAGCAAACAGGAUUAGAUACCCUGGUAGUCCACGCCAUAAACGUUGGGUGCUAGACGUCGGGGGUAUUGACCCCCUCGGUGUCGAAGCUAACGCAUUAAGCACCCCGCCUGGGGAGUACGGCCGCAAGGCUAAA
This 395-nucleotide ribosomal RNA is filed under the name uncultured bacterium. Its description in RNAcentral is "bacterial SSU rRNA". It matches the Rfam family "Bacterial small subunit ribosomal RNA", at positions 505 to 898 of the family's 1533-position model. The record is from RNAcentral.